UAGGCCCUAGGAAAGAACUUACUACUAUACUGCUGAGUGCACAUAAUACUAAACUGCACCUGAAUACUUGUCAUUAUAUUCAUAGAUUAGUGAUGCUUUCAACAAAGGUUCUGCUCCACGCCAUUGAAAGAAGAUCUUCACCCAAGACUCUUGAGAAAGAGAUUUAUUUGGAAAGGAGAAGUCCAGGAGAGUGGCUGCCUCUGCCAGGGUGAGAAAGGACAGCCAGCAACUGAACAGGCCCACUGUACAAGUGAGAACCUAAACCUGACAAUGUCAGUGAGGCCAAAAACCUGAAGCUAUAUGAAAAACCUAUUACUAUUAGUCUGCAAUCAAACCGCUCCCAAUGGCCAAUUCCUAUAUAGAGAGCAGUGCAUCACUCUACCUUCAUCAGGGAAGUUUCUUCUUGCAACAGAAAGCCAUUAAAACAGAAAUUCUGGAAUGGCCAGCCCUAAAUGGAUUUUCUGAGCUCUGAGGGAGAAAUCUGAUGGAGACCUCCAGUUUAGACUCUCUCCACAUGAUAUCUGGCUGUGGGUCUCUGCAUCUGUUCCCGUCGGCUGCUGGAGGAAACCUCUCUGAUGAUGAGCAUAGCAGAGUAUCAUUAGGAAUCAUUUUAUUGCUCUUCUGUUGUUUGUUUGCUUGCUUUUACUGGUAGUAUUUGAUUUUUACCCUAGGUCUCUUGGCUAUCUAGUCCUCAGACAAUGAGCUAAAUCUAUACAUUCCUGCCCUCCAAGGAGAAACUAUGUGACGAUGCCCCUACAAGCUUCACAGCAGGUAAGGAAAACCGACCAGAGUGAGGUAAGAAUGAAAUUCAGCUCAGCCCGAUUUUACUGUAACCAGCACUGGAACAGGACUUCUAAAGUCUGACCCAGACCAUUUUACUUUAACCAUAUUUUAGCACUUCACAAUUUUGAAAAAAAAAUAAGUUUUCUGAUAACAAUUAAAUGAGUCCCAAGUGCACAAGAAUUUAAGACAUGUUUACUUUGAGAUUCCUUACAAGGUACAUCUGGUUUCUUUUAUAACAAUGGGUACUGUUGACUCAGAGACAAUGCCCAAGAUUUAGGAGAUAUAUGGGAGAUAUAGGGAGCUUAUCCAAGGUAAACAUAAUGCUUAUGGGUGCCAAGACUGUCCUGGCCCUAAGAUAAUGUAGAAAAGUCACUUUAGCUUUGUAAAGGGCAAUUGACAUCACUCAUGAGAGUGUUUUAUGGUCUAAAAGCAAUGCUCAAGAUUUAGGGGGAAAGGCCUUAGAUAAGUAAAAAUAUAAAUUAUGGGAGCUAUGGGAAAAACUUGUGUCAUCAGAUAGCUAAGGAUCACCAGGUUGUACAAGGACAUCAUUCCUAGUGUCCCAGGAAGAACAGCUUUGCACUUCAUUCCAUGGAAGAUGUGAGCUGUGUGUUUAACUUUCCUAGCAUUCUCCAGUGCUCAUCUGUGUGCACAAGGCACUCUGCCCUUUACAUAGAGGCAACAGUCUCUGAUUGUUCUGCCCUGUUUUGUCUUCUUGGUUUUGAGAUAGGGUCUUGUAUAACCCUGGCUGGUCUGGAACUCAUCAUGACACUCGAAUCACCGUGGACUCCUGAUCGUCCUGCCUGGACCUCUUAAGUGCUAGGAUUGCAGCAUGCCUGACAACAAUGCCAUUGAUACAUAGAAAAGAAACUUCCCUAUUUCUUAAGCCAAUGUCCUCCACAAGCAGUGCCACUGUAAGAAACAUUUAGAUAUUUGUCUUUAUGGUAAAACUUCUGUUUAUGACAAGGACAUCAAAUCUUUUUAUCUCUUCCACCUAGUAAAACUUUUAGCCAAAUGUUUUAACCACCCCCCAAACCUGGUAAAACUCCUUUUUCCAAAGGCUCCACUGUAGGAACCAGUGACAAGGGAAAAACACCCUGCCCAUACUCAACCCCCAAGCCUAAUACCAAAGUAAAGGAAAAUACCCUGCUCCUGGCUUAACCUGGAGUACCUGAGGCUUGGAAGUCCACACCCUGUGACUCAGCAAUAUCAGCUGAAGGAUGUACUUGCCAUGCUGUACUUUUCCACUGGCUCACUGCACAUGCUCCAAGAAUCCCGUAACAGCCCUCCCAUUCACCCAGCCCUCUGCUCUGUUUCUUCCUGUUCAGAGCCAGCUACGGUUCAGUUAUUCUCCCCAAUAAAUCUCUUGUGUGA
Molecule: non-coding RNA, 2154 nt
Organism: Cricetulus griseus (Chinese hamster)
Lineage: Eukaryota; Metazoa; Chordata; Mammalia; Rodentia; Cricetidae
Source: RefSeq, a predicted model, not a curated record